GUGCUCACUUUGGCAUCACAUAUACUAAAAUUGGAAGGACACAGAGAAGAUUAGCAUGGCCCCUGUGCAAUGAUGACAUGCAAAUUCAUGAAGCGCUUCAUAUUUUU
Papio anubis (olive baboon) is the source of this 107-nucleotide small nuclear RNA. Lineage: Eukaryota; Metazoa; Chordata; Mammalia; Primates; Cercopithecidae. The record is from Ensembl.